This 2240-nucleotide long non-coding RNA is filed under the name Schizosaccharomyces pombe (fission yeast). Lineage: Eukaryota; Fungi; Ascomycota; Schizosaccharomycetes; Schizosaccharomycetales; Schizosaccharomycetaceae. The record is from RNAcentral.
ACUGUCCAACCGUAAGCAUUCGGAAACCGCCUACGAACAAUCAUGGUAUUGUGCGCAUCACCAUCGAGUCUAACAGCAACCUUUCUCCACGCAAGCCUAUGCCAGUUUUUGGCAAUAGUAAUUUCGUUAGACAAAAAACCAUUAUUCAUGUUGUUUAGCUCAGUAAUUCCAUCAAAAGUAGAAAAAGAGGCAGCUGGAUCAUGGACAUUAUCAGAUACAACAACUUUAUGCAGAUGAUAUUUAAAAAAGUAAGAAUCUGUCGGAACAGCUGGGAUAAACAAAUUUGUAAAAGUGUUGACAACUCGUUGUGCAACUCCUGAAAACGUGGAAGUUGGAUCUAAUUUAGGGGCUGAGCAAAAAAAUUGGUUUGAAGAAUUUGAGACAUCUAAUUCAUCUGAGCCAAGACAAUUGGGUUCAGUAGGCUUCCUAGCAUUUUCAUCCUCAUUUUUUACUAAUGGAAUUUCAGUAUCUGUAGUUUUGGAUGCCGAAUAACUGAACAAUCCUACAAAGGAUUUAAGAGCUUUAGAAAAUGAAGAUCCAGAUUCUUCUGAAGAAGCAUGGAUUUUCUUUGCAUUAUCUCCGACACUUUGAACUGUUUGCUCAUUUUCUUUUAGUGUUGGUGAAAUGCCAUUUUCCAUAUGCGUAGGCAUAACCUUAUCUGAACCCUCAGCUUCCUCUACCUUACCCAAAGAACUAACUUCCAUUGCGCUAGUUCCAAAAGGGACGAUAUAGUCAUUGGUAGUAUUUGCAAAUAAUAUUCUUUUUUCAAAAAACGAAACAGCUUGAAAGAAAGGCGUGGAAGGAUCAGACAUCAAAACAAGGAAAGGUCUUGAUUCAAUGGAGUGAUUCAGUGGAGUUAAAGAUAAGUCUUGUCCUGUCUUACCAAUGAUACCAUAGGACAAAGCCUUACCAAUAUAAGAAGGAUGUUCACCAGCAACACCGAGCCAAGGAGUUGCCAAAGUUACAAAAAACACAGGGUGAAUAGCCUGAAAAAAGGCACCGUGCGUUUUUGCAUGUACAUAACCAACAGCAUAUGUUUGAACCAAUCCACCAAGUGAGUGGGCGACAACUGAUAUAUGGGAAUAUCGAGGAAAAGAUGCACUUCCCCAGCCCGUAAUAUCCAACAGCCAUUCACCAAGUCGUUUACCCAGCCAGCGAACCCCUUUCUCAGUCUGACAGUAGUUACCGGUAAAUCCUCGAACAACUACUAGUUCCUUAACAGAUUUUGAUGAUUCUAUUAGUUUUUCUUUUAAAUACUCCAUAUCAGCACCAACAUUAGAAUGCAUUCCAUGAGUUAGCACCACCAAAUGUGAAUUCUUUGAAUGAAAUGAAGAAUACGGAAGACGCCAUAAAUUUUCCGGAGUUUGAUGUUCAACGUGUAGAGCAGGGAAUGCAUGAAGAGUAUCGAUAUCAGCAGCUGACAUGGCUCGAAUGGAAUGUUGAGAUUGCGAUAUAGCAAGCUCAAAGUUAAUAGAUCUAUCUUUAAAAAUCGCCUGACUUGCAAUUUCAAUGUAAAUAGGCUGCUGAUUGGAAAAACAUGAAUAAGGUACACAGACCCAAAAACUAGUAGAGGGCUGUACCUGAGGAUCAAAGUUUAAUAAAGAAUUUUUUUCAUCAAAAAAUUGGUCAUUCCAAACGCUAACGCAUAAUGUAAAUGGACCUUGAAGAUAGGCUGCCUGGCGGAAACGUGCUUCUCUAUUCCUGACACGAAUCCAAAGUACCGAGUUAGUCGAAUUUAUGAAGGGAGCUGUAGAGUCGCUUCCUGCCAAGGGAUUUUUUACUUCACGAAGAUUAAUAGAAGAGAAUGAAGUACCUACAGAAGGAGAAGAAGAGGUAUGAGAGACACCUCUUGUUUGUUCAGGUAUGUUGAUUGCAUUGGUAUUAUCUGUAAACGCACCAACUUUAUGAUAAUCUUUUGAAGAAGAUGAAAAAUCGCUGGAAAGAAGAGGUGAGGAUUCUGAAUUUGCAUGCUUCGGAUUCGUGCUACUAUUAUUCUCUGAGAUUUGCUUGCUGAUAUUCUCCCCACUAGAGAUUGUCAUCCCACCUGAACCUGCUCUAUCCUCGAUGCUACCACUCUCUUUCUUAGUCACUGAAUUGAGGUUCACAGUGGGGGGCACAGUUGUAGAAGACGUUGCCGAAUGCAAAUUGCCCCCACUCUGCACAAAAAUUCGAAAUCGAUGUAUUUGACCUAAACCAACUGUACCAUGCCAAUGUUAGAACAAGUAUUAAAUAUUUAUAUG